UCUCAUGCCUAACAUGCCAUGAGACAUGUCCGAAGAACUUCAGUAUGCGACUCUGUACUAACGCCGAAAGACGUUGUUUAAUGCCGAGUUCUUGGAGUAUAGAAACGUUGGUGCAAAGUUCAGUCCAUGAGACUCCUAGCAUUCGCCUCCAGCACCACAUCUCCAAAGCAU
Molecule: long non-coding RNA, 171 nt
Organism: Maniola jurtina (meadow brown)
Lineage: Eukaryota; Metazoa; Arthropoda; Insecta; Lepidoptera; Nymphalidae
Exons: 4
Source: RefSeq, a predicted model, not a curated record